Molecule: long non-coding RNA, 1184 nt
Organism: Oncorhynchus tshawytscha (Chinook salmon)
Lineage: Eukaryota; Metazoa; Chordata; Actinopteri; Salmoniformes; Salmonidae
Source: Ensembl
GUUUAAGUCCACACUGCACAGGUCCAUCUCUAGUGAAUACAAGCAGCCUGCCCAGACUCACACACGGCUCCAGGACCAGAGGUGAGUGCCAGUCCGAAGAGGGACAUCAAGGCCCAAGGAGCGAGGCCUCAUUCCGUUAAGUCAUGCCCAGCGCCCCAGCGACCUGGGAGUCGCCCAACCACAACACAGGACAUCCUUAAAGCUGGAUCUGUGGGGUCAGGACUCUGUGUGCCUGGGGGGUCGGGACUCCGUGUGCCUGGGGGGUCAGGACUCCGUGGUGUAAUGAGCGACCAGCCCUGGAAGCCCCUGACUCUGGCUGCGUUACGUCCAUCUGACUCCAGGUCUAAUUACGGCGCUGUGGAGAGGAUCCUGAAGAGCUACGAGAACACUGCCUGGAGCCAGCGGUACCAGAACCAUACCCAACCCACUGAGUCCAGCCCUAACCCUGGACCCAGCCUCAGCCCUAACCCUGGUCUCAGCCCCAGCCCUAACCCUGGUCUCAACCCCAGUCCUAACCCUGGUCUCAACCCCAGUCCUAACCCUGGUCUCAACCCCAGUCCUAACCCUGGUCUCAGCCCCCGUCCUAACCCUGGUCUCAGCCCCCGUCCUAACCCUGGUCUCAGCCCCCGUCCUAACCCUGGUCUCAGCCCCAGUCCUAACCCUGGUCUCAGCCCCAGUCCUAACCCUGGUCUCAGCCCCAGCCCUAACCCUGGUCUCAACCCCGUCUCAGCCCCAGCCCUAACCCUGGUCUCAACCCCGUCUCAGCCCCAGUCCUAACCCUGGUCUCAGCCCCAGUCCUAACCCUGGUCUCAGCCCCAGCCCUAACCCUGGUCUCAGCCCCAGCCCUAACCCUGGUCUCAGCCCCCGUCUCAGCCCCAGCCCUAACCCUGGUCCCAGCCCCAGACAGGAAGAGGAACUCAUGGAUCUUCUGGAGGAGAUGAUGGAUAAGGAUUACUGGGAUCAGUCAGGCCCUGCCUCUGGACACUCCUCCCACACACACUCUCACCACAGCCAGCUGACCAGCUCCCACAGAGAGACAAGGCUAACCAUGCAGGUCCUCUCCACAAGUUCCCGAGCGUGUGUGUGUGUCCCACCACCCACCAACCCCUGACAUCCGAACCCUGACCUCCGACCCUUCUCUCUAGGAGUCCCAGGGCCCCAGCGGUUUGGGUUCCACUGAGGGC